AUUGAACGCUGGCGGCAGGCCUAACACAUGCAAGUCGAGCGGAUGAAGGUUGCUUUCUCCUGGUUUCAGCUUCGGACUGGUGUUUAUUGCCUAGGAAUCUUCCUGGUAUUGGUUUAUUACGUCCUGAAACGGUCGCUAAUACCGCAUACUCCCUGAUGUUGCUAUUUGGGUUUCUUCGGACCUCACGCUAUCAUAUGAUCCUAGUUCGGAUUAGAUAGUUGGUUGGGUAAAGGCCUACCAAGGCGACGAUCCGUAACUGGUCUGAGAGGAUGAUCAGUAACACGGGAACUGAGACACGGUCAAGAAUACUACGGGAGGGAGCAGUGGGGAAUAUUGGACAAUGGGCGAAAGCAUGAUCCAGCAAUGGCGAGUGUGUGAAGAAGGUCUUCGGAUUGGAAAGAACUUUAAGUUGGGAGGAAGGGAAGUAAGUUAAUACCUUGCUGUAUUGACGUUAACAACAGAAUAAGCACCGGCUAACUACGUG
RNAcentral lists this ribosomal RNA (484 nucleotides) under uncultured bacterium. Its description in RNAcentral is "partial 16S ribosomal RNA". It matches the Rfam family "Bacterial small subunit ribosomal RNA", at positions 30 to 507 of the family's 1533-position model. The record is from RNAcentral.